GAUCGGUUGGUUAGAUGUGCUCCGGCUCAGGCUCAGACUUAAGGGGCUGGCUAGAGGUGAUGAUGAAGGACGCCCCCUGCCACCUGCUACCUUUCUCAGCACCCCAAUCCCGUACGCUCGCGACAUCGGCUGAGAUUCCCUAUGCCCAGGUCAGCAGUGAGGUUGGGAGUGACCUGGUGGCUUCCCCUCAGGCUCUAACGAUGGAUGUCCGCGGGGUGGAAGUGGCCCCCAACAGCUGGCACUUCGGGGAGGCGCCCCGAGGACCUAGCGCGCUGGGUGGGCGGCUCCCGCGCGCGCUCGGUGGAACCAGGACGGCUGCGGCUUCGGACAAGCGCUACGGCUUAAGUCCAGCUGGCUGGGCGGGCAGUGUGGCCCUCCGGGGAUGCUCUCGGGAAUUGAGAGAGAAAGGAAAAACAAGAACCCGAGGAAAGGACCCGUCGGGUUUGUGUCUGUGUGUGUGUGUGUGUGUGAGAUUUAAUGGAAGCAGCCAGUUCUCGGGAACACUGGGUUAACCGAUGCUACCCGCGUUGAAGCGCACAAGUCAAAGCCCGGGCCGGCUUCAGCGUGUCGGGGAGUCCUGGGGACUGCCACUUUUUUGAACACCGGGACACAAAAUAACCACCAGGGGUGGAUCUGCCCUCUUCACCUGGGUGUCCAUUGGAUUCCGGGCCAAGGUUUCCCUCCAAAAUCCGGAUGACAAAGUGUAACCACAUUUAGGGCGACAGAUGCUAAAGGCAAGUGCAUCGCAUUCAACUGGGAAAAGACAGAAGAAAGAGGAUGAAAGUCCCAAAUAAGAGAUGUAGACCAACAUGAGUGAAGCAAAAGGACGGUCCCCCCAGUGUUGCCACAGCUGCCUUUGCUUGACAUCGUUUUGGUAGUUCCUAUUUAAGGCCGCAGAAUUAACGUGAACCCUCUGAGGCCCACAUAGAGAAUCUGGUAAGUUUAGCUCGGCUGGUAAGUUUUGGUGAGAGGACCAAGUUGCUGUGAUUUGUUGACAAGACUUCAUCUACAAAUUGCAAGUUCAAGACCAGGCAGCCAGUAUUAUAUAUGAAAAUGUACAUCUUUUUUCUCUAAAUAUAUUUAUUAUUUUUAAUCAAAGGUAAGUCAUGAAAUCUGUAUAGUAUUUAUUUCAUUUUUCUCCCUACCACCCCCAUAUUAUUACAACCUCACCAUUCACAUAGCCAAGUAAAAAGACUUCCUCAGUUUCACUCAGUGGUUCUCAAGCUGGGGCUCCUUUGCACCCCAGAGGACAUUGGAGAUAUCCGGGGGCAUUUGGGGAGAAGGGAGUGUAAGGAGGCAAAGUGCUGCUGGCAUCUGAUGGGUAACGAUCAGGGUUGCUACUGAACACCCUGCAAUGCACACAGAGUAGCCCCGGAACAGGCUAUUAUCCGAAGUCCAAAAUGUCAACACAUUAUCCAGCCCAAAAUGCAAAAUGAGUUUGGGAAACCUUGGUUUCCAAUCACAUGAAGAUGGAAAACACCUGAUUUUUGUUAGGAGCUCGUGCUGCAAGGGGAACCACCUCUUGCGGUGGUUCAGGGUAUCUUGAACAGGCAGCAGGCUUGGAGGUAUAAAGAUUUAGCAGAGUUCUCUUUCCAGCAGGGCCUGCGAUGCACCCUGACCCGGUCACUGACCACCUUCCUCGACUGCAGCACAAAUCCAGGCAGUCACCUCAAGAGCAGUGCCGAAGACCAACAUCAGGGAUCUUGAGCUCCCCUCUCUGUUACUACUCCAUGCUGAGCAACUGGAAGAAAACAGCUUGACUUGGUUCCUUAUUUCACUUCCCUCCUGUACUGUAAAAGGAUAGCCGGGAAACCUGAGCAAACACGUGUUUGCUACCAGGCGUUGGACUUGAACUCAAAGGAGCAACCUGGCCUUGGCACGACACUAGGAACGUUUUUUGCGCCAGAUAAAAGGUGAAUAAAAGCAAUCCCAUACUCUA
Molecule: long non-coding RNA, 1939 nt
Organism: Phyllostomus discolor (pale spear-nosed bat)
Lineage: Eukaryota; Metazoa; Chordata; Mammalia; Chiroptera; Phyllostomidae
Exons: 3
Source: RefSeq, a predicted model, not a curated record